GUGAGGAAUAUUGGUCAAUGGUCGCAAGACUGAACCAGCCAUGCCGCGUGCAGGAAGACGGUCCUAUGGAUUGUAAACUGCUUUUAUACAGGAAGAAACCCUCCCACGUGUGGGAGCUUGACGGUACUGUAGGAAUAAGGAUCGGCUAACUCCGUGCCAGCAGCCGCGGUAAUACGGAGGAUCCAAGCGUUAUCCGGAAUCAUUGGGUUUAAAGGGUCCGUAGGCGGUCUUAUAAGUCAGUGGUGAAAGCCCAUCGCUCAACGAUGGAACUGCCAUUGAUACUGUAAGACUUGAAUGCUUAGGAAGUAACUAGAAUAUGUAGUGUAGCGGUGAAAUGCUUAGAUAUUACAUGGAAUACCAAUUGCGAAGGCAGGUUACUACUAAGUGAUUGACGCUGAUGGACGAAAGCGUGGGGAGCGAACAGGAUUAGAUACCCCAGUAGUCC
RNAcentral lists this ribosomal RNA (445 nucleotides) under uncultured bacterium. Its description in RNAcentral is "bacterial SSU rRNA". It matches the Rfam family "Bacterial small subunit ribosomal RNA", at positions 354 to 796 of the family's 1533-position model. The record is from RNAcentral.